RNAcentral lists this small nucleolar RNA (88 nucleotides) under Jaculus jaculus (lesser Egyptian jerboa). RNAcentral describes it as "Small nucleolar RNA SNORD14 (ENSJJAG00000003086.1)". Lineage: Eukaryota; Metazoa; Chordata; Mammalia; Rodentia; Dipodidae. The record is from RNAcentral.
UCACUGUGGUGAUUGAUCUAAACACUUGCAGUUUCCACCAGAAAGGCUCUUCCUGUGUUGGCCAGCUCUUCCUUGGAUGUCUGAGUGA